Numida meleagris (helmeted guineafowl) is the source of this 1675-nucleotide long non-coding RNA. The record is from Ensembl. Lineage: Eukaryota; Metazoa; Chordata; Aves; Galliformes; Numididae.
GUCACAACUAAAACUGGAUUAGUCCCCUCUAAGAGAGCAUCCAUGCAGCUGGUAUUAGCAGGUAUUCCUCACUUUUCAGGGUCAAGGCAGUCAAGGGGACAGAGUGACAGUGGUCAGAUAAAUAUGGUCACAUGCAAGUAAAAUCUCAUUACCUCUACACUUACCUCACCCUGGAGAGUGCUCAGACUGCAUGGAGAUUCCUAGCCUUCCUCAUGCCACCUCUUUAUAGUUAAAGGCCCAGCAUCUAGUUUGUCUUGAUAGUGAGGCUGAAGAAUAGGUUUAAAAACACUUCAGAGACAGUCGUAUUUGCAUGUGUUUUUUUAGAACUCCUGACUUAGCCACGUCUUGUUUUACUCAUAGAUGCAUUUGGUGGUUGAUGUGAGAUCCUCUUACUACGUACAAACUGACAUGCCAUUGGAGAGUCUGGGGAUCUAUAUGAUCAAUUAAAAUUUCAAAGAAAAAUAAUACAGCGUUUCUCUGCUUCCCGUCUUUUUUGACAGAUUCACAAGAUCACCACAAGAGGGUAAUGUUUCAGCAGACAAAACUUCCGUAAGAUUAAGCUGUUAAGGAAAAGUAAGGACCAGUAUUGUGUAGAAACUAUUGCUUUUCUACUUGAAGAAAAGGCUGUGCUGUUCUAAAAUUACAAAGGCAAAAAACUCCAGGAACUCUGAAGAUGGGAACCCAUCUAGCCAUGCAUUGCGCUUAGUGUUUUCAGGUACUCCAGAAGAGUCCUUCUCAGGCAUGUUCACAGCCACUUCUGAGUUUCUAAACUAUGCGUUGAAAAAAAAAACAAUACUGUGUGCUACAUGGUGCCUUUUCUACUGUGAUGGUUUUCAUCUAUAGCUAAUUCUCAUAAUUCACUAGUGCAAUGCAUUUUCCUCCGAGAGUUACUUUAGGUAGGUUUAUUUCUCUUUUGGUUACUAGCUUACUUGUAUUGUAAAAAGCUUUAAGAAAACCUAGAGUAGUAGAGCAGGACUGGCAGUAACCAAAGGCUUGUGUCUUAGCUUCAGCUGUGUGGCUGAACCUGUGGCUGUGCCCUGACCAAUUUGUUUACGCUUAUGUGAUGAAGAGCUGUCUCAAACACAGCUUGUAUUAAGGCUUACAAAUGAAGAAACAAGAACAUUGAUAGUGCAAAAAACGUCACCAUUCCUUCCUGCUUUGACUCAUUAGAGCUAACAAGAUUGAAAUGAAGGAAUGAAAAAUACUCAGUGACUGAGAAGUUGGUACAUGAAUAAGCACUUGAGUAGUUCAUAAGGACCACAAAGAAAAAUGACAAUAGACCAGUUCACCAACUGACAGUAUAAAAUCUCAGAAAGGCCCUGUCCAGCUGACUGCAACUAACUGCAUGACACAAAUUCAGGAGUUUCAGUGGUUCUGCAUCAGGAGUGUGCUGCAGCAGCUCCGAUCCUCAGGCUCCCGCGUCCUUACAUUAAAAUGUAUUAUUUCCUUGAACGUUCUCAUGUAGCAGAUUAGCCUGUGGAAACCAUCAUGUCUAUUCUGCUGUGAAUUACAUCUCUGCUGCUAAAAUCUUAUCAUUUUCAGGUAGAAUUCUUUUUAGCACCAAGUAGAAAAUCACAGUGUCAACUUCUGCCUUACAAGACAAAGACUUUGCCAUGACCAUAUGUAUUAAGAUUCCAUGGUAAUUUCAGCAUUCAACAAUUUACAAAACAUGCCA